AACGCACCUUGCGCUCCUUGGUAUUCCGAGGAGCAUGCCUGUUUGAGUGUCAUUAAAUUCUCAAUCUCUACAACUUUGUGUUGUCUAGAUCGGAAGUGGGGGUUUAUUGUGUGGAAUCUAAUUCCUCACUCCCCUUAAAUGCAUUAGCUGGAAUGCCUCUGCAUAUCUGACUAUCAGUGUGAUAAUUAUCUAUACUGUAGUUGUUGCAUGAGGGUAUCUGCUUCAUAAAUCGUCGCAAGACAAUUCUAUAUGACCAUCUUGACCUCAAAUCAGGUAGGACUACCCGCUGAACUUAA
This 296-nucleotide unclassified non-coding RNA is filed under the name uncultured Conocybe. Its description in RNAcentral is "sequence contains ITS2". The stretch from base 1 to 52 matches the Rfam family "5.8S ribosomal RNA", at positions 103 to 154 of the family's 154-position model. The record is from RNAcentral. Lineage: Eukaryota; Fungi; Basidiomycota; Agaricomycetes; Agaricales; Bolbitiaceae.